This 23-nucleotide microRNA is filed under the name Ciona intestinalis (vase tunicate). RNAcentral describes it as "cin-miR-4035-5p". Lineage: Eukaryota; Metazoa; Chordata; Ascidiacea; Phlebobranchia; Cionidae. The record is from miRBase by way of RNAcentral.
GGCAAUAUCACGAUGUGCUGUUG